ACUCCUACGGGAGGCAGCAGUGGGGAAUAUUGGACAAUGGGGGCAACCCUGAUCCAGCGACGCCGCGUGAGUGAAGAAGUAUUUCGGUAUGUAAAGCUCUAUCGAUAACGGAAGAAAAUGACAAGCCGUUAAGGAAGAAGCCCCGGCUAACUACGUGCCAGCAGCCGCGGUAAUACGUAGGGGGCAAGCGUUAUCCGGAUUUACUGGGUGUAAAGGGAGCGUAGACGGCAUAUAAAGUCUGAAGUGAAAUCCCGCAGCUCAACUGCGGAGUUGCUUUGGAAACUUAUAAGCUGGAGUGUCGGAGGGGUAAGCGGAAUUCCCAGUGUAGCGGUGAAAUGCGUAGAUAUUGGGAGGAACACCGGAGGCGAAGGCGGCUUACUGGAAGAUAACUGACGUUGAGGCUCGAAGGCGUGGGUAGCAAACAGGAUUAGAUACCCUUGUAGUCCUAUC
This 450-nucleotide ribosomal RNA is filed under the name uncultured bacterium. RNAcentral's name for it is "bacterial SSU rRNA". It matches the Rfam family "Bacterial small subunit ribosomal RNA", at positions 335 to 800 of the family's 1533-position model. The record is from RNAcentral.